GUCUCUUCGGAGACAUCCGAUAAAAUUGGAACGAUACGGAGAAGAUUAUCAUGGCCCAUGCGCAAGGAUGACAUGCACAAAUCGAGAAAUGGUCCAAAUUUUU
Non-coding RNA from Picea glauca (white spruce), 103 nucleotides. The record is from Rfam. NCBI's taxonomy places the organism in Eukaryota, Viridiplantae, Streptophyta, Pinopsida, Pinales, Pinaceae.